UACGUAGGUGGCAAGCGUUGUCCGGAUUUACUGGGCGUAAAGGGCGUGCAGGCGGUUUGUUAAGUCUAGGGUGAAAGCUCCCGGCUCAACUGGGAGAGGUCCUUGGAUACUGGCAGACUUGAGGAGAGUAGAGGAGAGUGGAAUUCCCGGUGUAGUGGUGAUAUGCGUAGAUAUCGGGAGGAACACCAGUGGCGAAGGCGGCUCUCUGGAACGGUACUGACGCUGAGACGCGAAAGCGUGGGGAGCGAACAGG
This 253-nucleotide ribosomal RNA is filed under the name uncultured bacterium. Its description in RNAcentral is "partial 16S ribosomal RNA". It matches the Rfam family "Bacterial small subunit ribosomal RNA", at positions 524 to 776 of the family's 1533-position model. The record is from RNAcentral.